AGCCAAGGAUGACCCCGAACUCCUGAUCUCCCCACCCCCACCUCCUGCCUGCUGGAAUUACAGAUCUGUACCAUCACGCUUAACUUAGAGCCAAGCUAGUCUACCCCCACAGCACACACACACACACACACACACACACACACACUUUCUACUCUAGACCUCGAGGUACUAGCUCUGAGCUCCUCCAUUGUUUGAAAAUAGAUGAUUUUCAAGGACAGUGCUUGAGAGUUGCUAUAGGGUCUCUGUGUCUGUCACAUGACACUUCAAUGCCAAUGAUACACAAACAAAGCCAAACAAAAACCCCAGCAAAUCCCGCAUCUCCCCCAGCUGGAAGCACUGAGUAUGGAGCCAGAUGAUGUCACAGAUGGCUGACCCCUGGCUCAGCAUCACAGCAGAUCCAUCCUCAGCCUCUGAACACAGACUGCCUUCUUACCCCAUCACCAUCUCACAUUGUUUGAACUGGGCCAGAAAGCUUCAGCCCCUGAUACAGCUGCUGAUUACAUGUCCACCAUAUAUAUGUGACAGAACCCGAACCCUGUGACCUUGAAUAAGUCACUCAACCUCUCCGAAUCUCUGGUGGAUGUUGUAAUAGGCCUGCCUCAAAGGAUUAUUGUAAGUGCUCAAUGAUGUCAUACACGUCGGAGUGUCACACAGACCUGACAGCAAACACUAGGUUGAUCCUGGGGGUGGGGGGUGGGAGGAGGUGUUGCUGAUGCUACCGAGUCCAGUGCAUAUUCCCAGGAUCCAUAGCUCACCAGGUUCCACCUCAUCCCUCCACUGCUGUGAUUAUGCAGCAAGCACACACUCAGCACCUACCCCUCAGGCUCUACGCUGGACACAAGUGUGGUGCUGUUGGAAAGUCAAGAGAAACCUGCUCAGAGGCAGCAUGAGUCCUAUCCCUUCAGGAGGCCCCGGGUGAUGGUCACAGCCCAGCUUCAGAGCCCACAGCGCAGACUUGAAUUGCAAUGCUCUCAUUUAUCCUCCACAGGACGCUUGUCUCCUCUGCCUUGAUUCCUGUGUCUGAACAAUGGAGGCAGCAAUGACACACAGGCAUUGGGCCCUGCAGUAUUUCAUUUACUCCUAGCUGUAGCUCAGCAGGGUGCAAUGAUUGUUGUCAGUUCUACAGAAGGGAAACUGAGGCUAGAUAGUCAGCGGCCCAGCAGGGCUUUAAUCAGGCAAUAGAAAGUGAUGUCGCAACAGAAUCCAUACACAGCUGUUAAGUCUGACGGGGAACAGGGCCUAGGAGGUGAAGCUUAGGGUUGGAACUGGCACUGGGAAACUCAAGUUGCCAUGUAGUCUUACUGGGGUUCUAUAACCUAUGACCUCAUUUAUCAUUGGCCCUUCCUUACUCUGUGGAUAUAAAGAUUCCACUGGGGACCCAGAGUGUUCGUUCAUUCACCAGUCAAGAUUAAUGUCAAAGAAGGGCUUGGUGAGACAGCACGUUGUUGUUCAGGAGGGGAGCUAGCUCUGGACCAAGGAGUACCUGAGUGACAAGAUGUAAACAACCCUGCCUAGCCAAACACUUGACCAGGGACAUAG
RNAcentral lists this long non-coding RNA (1539 nucleotides) under Mus spicilegus (steppe mouse). RNAcentral's name for it is "lncRNA (ENSMSIG00000026184.1)". The record is from RNAcentral. Lineage: Eukaryota; Metazoa; Chordata; Mammalia; Rodentia; Muridae.